Molecule: ribosomal RNA, 566 nt
Filed under: Diaporthe ampelina
Lineage: Eukaryota; Fungi; Ascomycota; Sordariomycetes; Diaporthales; Diaporthaceae
Description: eukaryotic LSU rRNA
Rfam family: 5.8S ribosomal RNA (bases 211-364)
Source: RNAcentral
UCUCCGUUGGUGAACCAGCGGAGGGAUCAUUGCUGGAACGCGCCCCUGGCGCACCCAGAAACCCUUUGUGAACUCAUACCUUACCGUUGCCUCGGCGCAGGCCGGCCCCCCAGGGGGGGCCCCUCGGAGACGAGGAGCAGGCCCGCCGGCGGCCAAGUUAACUCUUGUUUUUACACUGAAACUCUGAGAAACAAAACACAAAUGAAUCAAAACUUUCAACAACGGAUCUCUUGGUUCUGGCAUCGAUGAAGAACGCAGCGAAAUGCGAUAAGUAAUGUGAAUUGCAGAAUUCAGUGAAUCAUCGAAUCUUUGAACGCACAUUGCGCCCUCUGGUAUUCCGGAGGGCAUGCCUGUUCGAGCGUCAUUUCAACCCUCAAGCCUGGCUUGGUGAUGGGGCACUGCUCCCCCCCGGGGAGCAGGCCCUGAAAUCCAGUGGCGAGCUCGCCAGGACCCCGAGCGCAGUAGUUAAACCCUCGCUCCGGGAGGCCCUGGCGGUGCCCUGCCGUUAAACCCCCAACUUCUGAAAGUUUGACCUCGGAUCAGGUAGGAAUACCCGCUGAACUUAA